This 403-nucleotide ribosomal RNA is filed under the name uncultured bacterium. RNAcentral's name for it is "partial 16S ribosomal RNA". It matches the Rfam family "Bacterial small subunit ribosomal RNA", at positions 30 to 526 of the family's 1533-position model. The record is from RNAcentral.
AUUGAACGCUGGCGGCAGGCCUAACACAUGCAAGUCGAACGAAGUGGGAACGGGUGAGUAAUACGUGGGUAACCUCCCAUCAGAGGGGAUAACACUUGGAAACAGGUGCUAAACCGAUACUGAUGGAUGGACCCGCGGUGCAUUAGCUAGUUGGUGAGGUAACGGCUCACCAAGGCCACGAUGCAUAGCCGACCUGAGAGGGGGAUCGGCCACACGGGGACUGAGACACGGCCCAGACGCCUACGGGAGGCAGCAGUAGGGAAUCUUCGGCAAUGGACGAAAGUCUGACCGAGCAACGCCGCGUGAGUGAAGAAGGUUUUCGGAUCGUAAAACUCUGUUGUUAGAGAAGCGGUAUCUAACCAGAAAGCCACGGCUAACUACGUGCCAGCAGCCGCGGUAAUAC